RNAcentral lists this ribosomal RNA (240 nucleotides) under uncultured Tannerella sp. RNAcentral's name for it is "partial 16S ribosomal RNA". It matches the Rfam family "Bacterial small subunit ribosomal RNA", at positions 100 to 339 of the family's 1533-position model. Lineage: Bacteria; Pseudomonadati; Bacteroidota; Bacteroidia; Bacteroidales; Tannerellaceae. The record is from RNAcentral.
GCACGGGUGAGUAACGCGUAUGCAACCUACCCACAACAGAAGAAUAAUCCGGCGAAAGUCGGUCUAAUACUUCAUAAAACAGGGACACCGCAUGGUGUUAUUUGUUAAAGAUUUAUCGGUUGUGGAUGGGCAUGCGUACCAUUAGGUAGUUGGUGAGGUAACGGCCCACCAAGCCUACGAUGGUUAGGGGUUCUGAGAGGAAAGUCCCCCACACUGGUACUGAGACACGGACCAGACUCC